UAACACAGUUAUUGAUUGUUUAUGCAAAGAGAAGUUGGUUGAUCAUGCUUUAGAUCUUCUUGGUGAAAUGUGUAACAGAGGCAUACUGCCGGAUGUAAUGACCUACACUUCGUUAAUUCAGGGUU
This 125-nucleotide microRNA precursor is filed under the name Daucus carota subsp. sativus. RNAcentral's name for it is "sRNA DCAR_mi00012". Lineage: Eukaryota; Viridiplantae; Streptophyta; Magnoliopsida; Apiales; Apiaceae. The record is from RNAcentral.